RNAcentral lists this ribosomal RNA (433 nucleotides) under uncultured bacterium. RNAcentral describes it as "partial 16S ribosomal RNA". It matches the Rfam family "Bacterial small subunit ribosomal RNA", at positions 29 to 507 of the family's 1533-position model. The record is from RNAcentral.
AACGAACGCUGGCGGCAUGCCUAACACAUGCAAGUCGAACGAUACCUUCGGGUCUAGUGGCGCACGGGUGCGUAACGGGGGGGAACGUGCCCUUAGGUUCGGAAUAACUCCCCGAAAGGGGUGCUAAUACCGGAUAAUGUCUUCGGACCAAAGAUUUAUCGCCUUUGGAUGGGCCCGCGUUGGAUUAGCUAGUUGGUAGGGUAAAAGCCUACCAAGGCGACGAUCGAUAGCUGGUCUGAGAGGAUGAUCAGCCACACUGGGACUGAGACACGGCCCAGACUCCUACGGGAGGCAGCAGUGGGGAAUAUUGGACAAUGGGCGAAAGCCUGAUGCAGCAAUGCCGCGUGAGUGAUGAAGGCCUUAGGGUUGUAAAGCGCUUUUACACGGGAUGAUAAUGACAGUACCGGGAGAAUAAGCGACGGCUAACUACGUG